This 879-nucleotide ribosomal RNA is filed under the name uncultured bacterium. RNAcentral describes it as "bacterial SSU rRNA". It matches the Rfam family "Bacterial small subunit ribosomal RNA", at positions 511 to 1401 of the family's 1533-position model. The record is from RNAcentral.
GCAGCCGCGGUAACACGUAGGAGGCAAGCGUUAUCCGGAUUUACUGGGCGUAAAGCGCGUGCAGGCGGUUCGGUAAGUUGGAUGUGAAAGCUCCUGGCUCAACUGGGAGAGGUCGUUCAAUACUACCGGACUUGAGAGCAGUAGAGGGAGGUGGAAUUCCCGGUGUAGUAGUGAAAUGCGUAGAUAUCGGGAGGAACACCAGUGGCGAAAGCGGCCUCCUGGACUGUUUCUGACGCUCAGACGCGAAAGCUAGGGGAGCGAACGGGAUUAGAGACCCCGGUAGUCCUAGCCGUAAACGAUGUGAACUUGGCGUCGGCGGGUUCAAAACCGUUGGUGCCGAAGCUAACGCGAUAAGUUCACCACCUGGGAACUACGGCCGCAGGGUUAAAACUCAAAGGAAUUGACGGGUCCCCGCACAAGCAGCGGAGCGUGUGGUUUAAUUCGAUGCUACACGAAGAACCUUACCCAGGUUUGACAUGACGACGAACGAUUGCGAAAGCAUGAGGCUCCCGCAAGGGACGUCGCCACAGGUGUUGCAUGGCUGUCGUCAGCUCGUGUCGUGAGAUGUUCGGUUAAGUCCGCCAACGAGCGCAACCCUUGCCGUAUGUUACAUGUGUCAUACGGGACCGCCGGUAUCAAGCCGGAGGAAGGUGGGGAUGACGUCAAGUCAGCAUGGCCUUUAUGCCUGGGGCUACACACACGCUACAAUGGCCGGUACAAUGGGUUGCUAAGCCGCGAGGUAGAGCCAAUCCCCAAAGCCGGCCUCAGUUCAGAUCGCAGGCUGCAACCCGCCUGCGUGAAGUCGGAGUUGCUAGUAAACGCGCGCCAGCCAUAGUGCGUUGAAUACGUUCCCGGGGAUUGUACACACCGCCCGUCAAG